This 289-nucleotide long non-coding RNA is filed under the name Homo sapiens (human). Its description in RNAcentral is "non-protein coding lnc-IKZF5-1:7". The record is from RNAcentral. Lineage: Eukaryota; Metazoa; Chordata; Mammalia; Primates; Hominidae.
CUGUGACGGUGACGAAGACGGCGGCGGCGGCGACGGCAUUUAACAAGGCGGUGUGGUUUACUCCAUGCAGUUGUCAGGAGUUUUGUUUUCUAGGUCUAACAAACUGUAAAUGUUAAAAAAGCAAAGAUGGGUGAAAAAAAACCAGAGCCUUUGGACUUCGUGAAAGAUUUUCAGGAAUACCUGACUCAGCAGACCCAUCACGUGAACAUGAUUUCUGGAUCAGUUAGUGGGGACAAAGAAGCAGAGGCUCUUCAGGGAGCUGGAACAGAUGGUGAUCAAAAUGGACUUG